UGUAGGAACACUCAGAUUACACGAGUGAGUUGGGUUUGAUUGGUUUGCUAUUUUUGAGGUUUUAGUGAUGUUGUUUGAAUACUGUGAAUCAAAUAUAAUGAUCAUUGCGUUUACGAACAUACUGUGAAUCAAAUAUAAAGAUCAUUUCCAGUGUAUUUUGUAUUAAUCUCAUACUCUGCCUCUUAUUUGAUUGUGCCUUCUAUUUUAUUCUUAUUCUGCCUAUGUGAUUGUUAACCCGUCUCUGUGAUAGUAUCCCCCCACAUUAGGAUUAGCCUGAUAGUAACAAGAGCGUUCGGUGAAAUUACCAAUCCUUUACCAACUUGCUAAUGCCUCAUUCCAACUGAUCAGUCUCCAUGCAACCAAAAUUCUAGUUUAGUUAUAUAUGAUUUGUAUCCUUUUUCCCCAAGGAAUAUUAAGAAAAGUUACAUCUAUGAGUUUAUCCACAUAAGAAAAGUUUGUCUCUGGUGCUGUAUGAAAGUUCAGUGUUUUAAUUUGAUGGACUAUGGUAUUGGUUUUUAAUAGCUUUAGAAACUCAAAAGAUAAAUCACUUCUCUAAACUAAUAUGUUCUCAUUGAGCUUCAAUUUUUCUGUGGAGUGAAACUUUUUCGGUGCUUGGUUUCUUUAGAGCAUAAUUUCAUUCCCUAUUAUUGCUGCCAAUAUAUUAGGUUUGACUAUUAACAAUGCAUGUUGCUAUAUUCAGCUAUCUUUAUAUUCAUCAAUAUGCAUAAAAGAAUUUCUCAUGAAAAUCAUCUUCAUAUCUCUGUAACAGAACUCUGAAAUGGGAUCCUUACAUUAGUUCUAAUUUCAAUGUCUUUUCAAUAUAGAUUAUUUGUUAAGCUGUAUUUUUCAAAGUUUCUAAUCAUAUACUUGGAAUUCUGUAAUUGCACGUAGAAAUGCUUUGUGGGAGAUUGGGCAUACUGAUCCUAUACUGGUUUGAGAAAGCUAAUUAACCAUCAAAAGUGGAGGCAGUCAUAUAUCUUUCUUGCAUCUUUGGUUCUCGGAUUUGCCUGUGUAAUUCAUCAAAUGCAAGAGGCCUCCAAGUACUAGGCCCUUCACUGUCAUCAAAAACAGGAAGUCUUUGUUUGAACAUUUAGAAGCACAUUACUAAUACAAAAUGCACAGUAUUAGUGUGUCACCUAUGAAGCCAGAUUCCUCUGCUUCAACAAUUCUGUAGACAUGAGCUGGUAAGAAGGAAAUUAAUUGUCAUUUGAUAAAGAGUGAAAGCAUUUCUUGCUUGAGCAUUUAAUUGAAGAAAGGAACCAAGUAUAUUCUUUAGAAAACAAGUUUAUCUCCAAAUUCAAGUAGGCAUAGAGAGAUAUAACACACAUUUUCAGAAAUGCUUUGUGGGAGAUUGGGCAUGCUGGUGCUAUGUGGUUUUGAGAAAGCUAACUAACCAUCAAAAGAGGAGGCAAUCAUUUCUUUCUUGCGUCUUUGGUUCUCGGAUUUGCCUGUGUAACUCAUCAAGUGCAAGAGGCCUCCAAGUACAAGGCCCUUCACUGUCAUGAAAAACAGGAAGUCUUUGUUUGAAGAUUUAGAAGCACAUUGCUAAUACAAGUGUUAAGAAGCUUCACAUCUCAGGCAUUGACAACUUCCAGAUUGCACAGUAUUAGUUGUGUCACCUAUGAAGCCAAAUUCCUCUGCUUCCACAAUUCUGAGCCUGAACGUGGUCUUCGCAUCGUCAAGCUAACCCAUGUGGAUGUUCUGAAGAAGACAGUGGCAGUCCAUCACAUCCAACAGCAAAUGAAGCUUCCACUAACACAAAAGAGAACUUCCAAGUAGAUGAACUAAUGGAUGACACGUACUGAUGAAGAUCUCAUGUAAUGAUUGGUUCGAACUUCGAAUGUAGAACAUUUUGCUAAGCACUAACCAUAUUUGUCAGUUGUAUAUAAACAUCUUGGGU
RNAcentral lists this long non-coding RNA (1900 nucleotides) under Rosa chinensis. RNAcentral describes it as "sRNA RchiOBHm_Chr1g0354291". Lineage: Eukaryota; Viridiplantae; Streptophyta; Magnoliopsida; Rosales; Rosaceae. The record is from RNAcentral.